RNAcentral lists this transfer RNA (62 nucleotides) under Tropostreptus austerus. RNAcentral describes it as "tRNA-Arg". The record is from RNAcentral. Lineage: Eukaryota; Metazoa; Arthropoda; Diplopoda; Spirostreptida; Spirostreptidae.
AAAUAAGAAGUGAAAAAAUCACAACCAAUUUCGACUUGGCCUUUGAAUUAUAUCCUUAUUUU